Molecule: ribosomal RNA, 252 nt
Filed under: uncultured bacterium
Lineage: Bacteria
Description: partial 16S ribosomal RNA
Rfam family: Bacterial small subunit ribosomal RNA
Source: RNAcentral
AUUGACCUACGGGGCGCAGCAGUAGGGAAUUUUGCGCAAUGGGGGAAACCCUGACGCAGCAACGCCGCGUGAUCGAUGAAGCCCUUCGGGGUGUAAAGAUCUGUCAGUGGGGACGAAACCUGACGGUACCCACAGAGGAAGCACCGGCUAACUCCGUGCCAGCAGCCGCGGCAAUACGGGGGGUGCAAGCGUUGUCCGGAAUCAUUGGGCGUAAAGAGUUCGUAGGUGGCACGUUAAGUCUGGUGUUGAAGU